AACGAACGCUGGCGGCAGGCUUAACACAUGCAAGUCGAGCGCCCCGCAAGGGGAGCGGCAGACGGGUGAGUAACACGUGGGAACAUACCCAUCUCUGCGGAACAACUCCGGGAAACUGGAGCUAAUACCGCAUACGCCCCUAGGGGGAAAGGUUUAUCGGAGAUGGAUUGGCCCGCGUUGGAUUAGCUAGUUGGGGGGGUAAAGGCCUACCAAGGCGACGAUCCAUAGCUGGUCUGAGAGGAUGAUCAGCCACAUUGGGACUGAGACACGGCCCAAACUCCUACGGGAGGCAGCAGUGGGGAAUAUUGGACAAUGGGCGCAAGCCUGAUCCAGCCAUGCCGCGUGAGUGAUGAAGGCCUUAGGGUUGUAAAGCUCUUUCACCGAUGAAGAUAAUGACGGUAGACGGAGAAGAAGCCCCGGCUAACUUCGUGCCAGCCGCCGCGGUAA
RNAcentral lists this ribosomal RNA (447 nucleotides) under uncultured bacterium. Its description in RNAcentral is "partial 16S ribosomal RNA". It matches the Rfam family "Bacterial small subunit ribosomal RNA", at positions 29 to 523 of the family's 1533-position model. The record is from RNAcentral.